RNAcentral lists this ribosomal RNA (497 nucleotides) under uncultured bacterium. Its description in RNAcentral is "partial 16S ribosomal RNA". It matches the Rfam family "Bacterial small subunit ribosomal RNA", at positions 28 to 507 of the family's 1533-position model. The record is from RNAcentral.
GAUGAACGCUGGCGGCGUGCCUAAUACAUGCAAGUCGAGCGAACGGACGAGAAGCUUGCUUCUCUGAUGUUAGCGGCGGACGGGUGAGUAACACGUGGAUAACCUACCUAUAAGACUGGGAUAACUUCGGGAAACCGUAGCUAAUACCGGAUAAUAUUUUGAACCGCAUGGUUCAAAAGUGAAAGACGGUCUUGCUGUCACUUAUAGAUGGAUCCGCGCUGCAUUAGCUAGUUGGUAAGGUAACGGCUUACCAAGGCAACGAUGCAUAGCCGACCUGAGAGGGUGAUCGGCCACACUGGAACUGAGACACGGUCCAGACUCCUACGGGAGGCAGCAGUAGGGAAUCUUCCGCAAUGGACGAAAGCCUGACGGAGCAACGCCGCGUGAGUGAUGAAGGUCUUCGGAUCGUAAAACUCUGUUAUUAGGGAAGAACACAUGUGUAAGUAACUGUGCACAUCUUGACGGUACCUAAUCAGAAAGCCACGGCUAACUACGUG